CGUACACUCCUGCGGGAGGCAGCAGUGGGGAAUCUUGCGCAAUGGGCGAAAGCCUGACGCAGCCAUGCCGCGUGAAUGAUGAAGGUCUUAGGAUUGUAAAAUUCUUUCACCGGGGACGAUAAUGACGGUACCCGGAGAAGAAGCCCCGGCUAACUUCGUGCCAGCAGCCGCGGUAAUACGAAGGGGGCUAGCGUUGCUCGGAAUUACUGGGCGUAAAGGGAGCGUAGGCGGACAUUUAAGUCAGGGGUGAAAUCCCGGGGCUCAACCUCGGAAUUGCCUUUGAUACUGGGUGUCUUGAGUAUGAGAGAGGUGUGUGGAACUCCGAGUGUAGAGGUGAAAUUCGUAGAUAUUCGGAAGAACACCAGUGGCGAAGGCGACACACUGGCUCAUUACUGACGCUGAGGCUCGAAAGCGUGGGGAGCAAACAGGAUUAGAUACCCGGGUAGUACCAUG
RNAcentral lists this ribosomal RNA (453 nucleotides) under uncultured organism. RNAcentral's name for it is "partial 16S ribosomal RNA". It matches the Rfam family "Bacterial small subunit ribosomal RNA", at positions 330 to 799 of the family's 1533-position model. The record is from RNAcentral.